GUUGUACUGACUGACUCACCCUGCAGCACCACCUCAAGUGACCAGAACCUACAAGUGCUGCAGUUGAGGUCUGUUAUAUGUCCUCUCUCUGCCUCUAGGAAGGACGGGGAGGCUGCUAAGCCGUGGAUUUCACAGGUUGGGCAGAAACAACCUCCAGAAGCACCUGCAGUCCUAGGGCAGUUCCCAAGGGCCCUGAGCUAAAUGCCUAAGGGCGCCAGGCAGGCUCUCAGGUCAUGUCCCUGCCCCUGGCCCGGGAACCACACUGUGCGUGGUGAGCAUUCACCCUUCCACCUGGAAAUUCUCUCGGACGCUAUAUCCCUGGCCACGCCUGCUUGCUGACCUGGGAGGGACUGAACACUCACUACACCUGUAGGGACACUCUGGGCGGCUGCCGCUGCCACUAACUCCUGCCAUGGCCUCCAGUGGUGCUGAAGGACACCCCAACUUGACAGUGCCAAGGCCUGGGCUCUGGAACUUCGCUGUUCCACAAAAGAAAGUUCAGUUGGACCGGUGGGGGGGGGGGGGAGGGGGGACGGGCAGUGGUUGCAGACGCCUGUUGGAGAGAUCUAAGCAGAGAGGAUUCUCUGUGCGCUUGGCAAGUGUCCAGUUCAACAGAAAAUCCUACCAUUCCUCGGCCGUGCUGGUGAGUAAAGGUGUGCUGAGGCCUGUUUGCCUUCCUCUCUCCCCAGAGCCUUGCAGCCAGCUUUUCUCUGCACUUGGGCAAGACACGGUGAUGCCCACAGAAGGGGCCGGUUUCUGACUGGCGGUGGGGGGCGGGGGGGAGAAGGGAAGGACUAUCGAGGCUAAGCGGAGGCUAAUCGUCAGGCCACAAACCCCUGCUCCGGGGGAACCGCAGGUCUCUGCCUCCUCUGGGGUUGGGGAUUCCAACCCCAGACCUUCCUUCCUGGGGCCCUGGGAGGCCCUGGAAAGUGGAGAAUCCCCAGCCCCACCUCUCCUGAUGGGCUCAGAGUUACUGGGGCCGGCGCCCAUACACCCAGGCCAUCCGGAAGCUUAGGAGUGCAGAAACCACCUAGGCCACUCCUUAUUUCAUCAUGAGGGAAAUCCAAGCCCAGAGAGUGCACGAGACUUUCCCGAGGUCACACAGCCUGUGUAAAGGCCCAGAAUCCUUUGAGGCAGAGCCGGACAGAAGCCACUGGUAUCAGCCAGACUGUUGGUCACCCAUAGCAGCAACUUUCAGGAAAAGGACCUUCCGGAAUACUCCUGAGAGAAAGAGGGGUGUCUGAGGGAAAUGGUAGAAAGGGGUCACGGGGGUUCACCUAAGAAGGGGAGGGUCAUGGAUCACAGUUUCUUCAAGGAAGGUAGAGAGCAGGGCUUCUGCCCUGACAGAAUGCUAGAGACAACAUUCAUCUUGUCCUCUGGCGAACGGUGCUCCCGAAAGUUCUGUCUUUUGUGCAGUGCACAGCCUGUGGGGCCUGGCAGGGACGCCCCGUUAAUGCAGUGCAGUGGGGGCGAGGGGUUGUCAGAGAAGAGGUCUCAGAAGGUCAUGAGUACAAGGGUUCUCAAGUCUGGAUUCCUGGGCCAUUCCAGACCGACAGAACCAGAACUCCCCCCUCCCAGGGGAAAAUUCCUGGGUUUAGGAAAGAGCCUGGGCUCACUCAGACAGGAAUUGGGACACCUGGCUUGGGUGGGAAGUUCAGCGGGCAGGGCCAGGCCCUAAGGCUGGAGAGGAGGCCCCUGGGAGAUCGGCAGCUGGGCUUGGGAGCAAGGGGGCAGCACCUGUUCCCGCUGCGCUGCGCGCCUCACUUCCCGGAGAACUGGCCCGGCCUCGCCUUCUCCAGCUUCAGGCGCCGCUCCAGGGGGAUCUCCUGCAGGCUGAUGCCGUGGUUGCUGGCCCUGCGGGGAGGGGGGCGGCGGCCUCAGGGAGGGGCAGGCGGAGGGCGGGGUCAGGCCGGGAGAAGGGGUCCGGAGGCUGGUUCCUCACCCCGGCUGCAGAUCCGGCGGUUUGGGGAUGGGCUUGUUGAAGCCGCGUCUGCCCACCAGCCAGUACGUGUCUUCGGCGCCCUUACCCUGGAGAGACACGGGGCGGGGGGGUGGGGGGGUUAGGCGGCUGGGGCGAGGGCGGUGGAUCUCGAGGUCUAAGUGGCACCCAAAACCCCCGGGGUUGCGGCCCAGGAGGGGGCGGGGCCGGUCUCACCUUCAGCUCGGUGCGGCCGCGCACCUCUGUCUGGAAGCCCUCGUCCAGGGCGCGGAGAAUCUGGACGGUGCUGAUGUUCACGUGGAUGCGGUAAGCUGGGGCGACAGGGGACAGGGGACGUGGUGAUUUCGGGACUCCCCUCCCGCGUCCCCCUCCCCGAGCCACUUCCCCCUCGCUCCGUGAAUCGCCCCCCCCACCCCCGGACCCCACCCCGCCCCACUCACGCAGCCCCGUGGACUCCAUGCGCGAGGCGGUGUUGACCGUGUCCCCAAACAGGCAGUACCGCGGCAUGGUGAGGCCCACCACGCCCGCCACGCACGGGCCUGCGGAGACGCGCAGGGUGGGUGGCCGUGCUGGCGGCUGGGUGGCACCUGGCACCUCGGGAGACUCUCUAACGCCCCAUCAUCUCCACCAGCUCCCCAAGGGUACCUCUCAAUCACGACGGGGUGCCUGCCGAGGCGGCUUCACAGCAAGUCCCGCUGCCCCCGUCCCCCCCCCCACCCCCCCACCGCACGAAUGUCCAGGGAAUGCGGAACCGGCCCUAGACGGGGAGGGAGGGGGCCACGGGAGCCCGGGAGGUACCCGAGUGCAGGCCGAUGCGGAUGCGCACGGGCACCUCGGGCAUGUGGCGCAUUCGGAAGGAGCCCACGGCACUGAGGAUGUCCAGAGCCAUGUUGGCGAUCUCCGCCGCGUGCCGCUGCCCGUUCCGCUGGGGCAGCCCGGAGGCCACCAUGUAGGCGUCCCCAAUUGUCUCCACCUGACGGAAAGGGUGGUGCAAGUCCGGUACUGAGCACCUCUCUCCCGCCAAGCGACUGUCCUUUGUCAGGCGGCCUAAGCUGGGGGUGCAGCGCGGGGAUCCUGGGGAGGCUUCCAAAUGGGGACGGGGGCAGUGGGGCUGAACUGGGGGCUAGCGGAGCUGAAGGAGGGUUGCUCCCCCCUCCCCCCCUCCCCGCUCCGGCACACCCCACCUUGUAGACGUCGUGGGAGCCGAUGAUGGCGUCAAAGAGCGUGUAGAGGUCGUUGAGCAGGUCCACCACCUCGAUGGGCUCACUCAUGGCCGAGAUGGUGGUGAAGCCCACGAUGUCGCUGAAGUACAGAGUCACCUCCUCAAAAUACUCGGGCUCCACAGGUGUCCCAGUCUUCAGAGCCUCAGCCACAGAACUAUCUCCAGCUCUUCCGUGCGCUCCCGGAUCAGGUCCUCCAGGUUGCUGGAGUACUGCUCCAGCAUCCUCAGCAUGGAGUCAAUGAUGUUCGUUUUCCGGCCCUUGUUGAUGCUUUUGAACUGUCCUCAGACUGCCCCUUGGGAAACGGCCUGGAGGUCAGAGGUCCCGCGAGUCUGCCUUCCUGAAGCCUCCCCGGGUUGCUGACAAGCGGCCAGGCCAGCCCUUGCCCAAUGCCAGCCGCUGACCUGCUCGAAGGUGCGGUCCAUGGAGGGCCGGAGGUCCGGCUGCUCCGCCCAGCACUGUUUCAUCAGCUGGAUGCACUCCGUGGGCGCCUGGUCCACGGACACGGAGGGCCGGCACAGUGGAGGGGGACUUCGGACCCUCUCCACCACUUCUGGAGGCAUGAGGGGACCAACAGAGGCCACCUCUGACUCUGGCCUGACUGCUGAAGCCCGCGAUCAGAGCUUCCGGAAGGAGGCGGGGAAGCGCGGGGAGGGAGGGGAGGGCGUUGCUGGAAGGAACGGGAGGAUCCUGAACCCUGGGGGUGGGAGGGUGGGGGGCGCAGGGGGCAGUUAGAGGUGACAGGCAGAGCUAACAUUUGUCGCAGUUGAGAGUGAGGGUUGGGGUGGCCCAGUAGCUUGCUGACUCCUGGAUGGUAAGUCAUAGGGAUCUGAACCAGAUCCCACUGCCUUCGCCCCCUUCCCCCGACACUGCUGCCUCCCUGCCGUCCCUAAGAACCAGAGGGGAGCCCCCUCCCUCAGCCGGAGGAGCAGGUUGGGUCCAGGAUGAGGACAGAGACAACCACUGAUGUCUGGGAGCCUAAGAGCCGCCCCCUCCCAUCCUGACGCUUGCUCUGCCCGGCCCUGACCCUUGAGAUCCACAUAAGGGAGGCCCACAUAAUUAAGCCUCAGCUCCGGGCUUUAGGGCAGAGGGGCUGGGUCUGGCGAGAGGCUCUGCCGGGCCGCCGGCUGGAAGCGCGACGCGAGCGAGCGUACCCUCAGCGGUCAGCUCCAGCAUGGCGUAGGGGGCGCUGCGACACACGACCUCCUGCAUGAUGAUGCCCAGGCUGAAGACGUCACCCGCCAUCGUUCCCCUGCGCUCCAGGGCCGGGUCCCGAAGCAGCUCCGGGGCUGUCCACAGCUGGUCUGGGGUCGGGGGAGGGGGCGUGGGCAUGCGGGAGGGCCUGGGGACGCUGGGGACAGACCCCCGCCCUAACCAAAAAGCCCAGGCUCGCACCCACUCACCAACUCCCAGCCCGAGUGUGGCCCCGCUGCCCGCAGCUAUCCCCCGGAGAAACUACCAGAAACCCGACGCGGGUCUCGGAGAAAGCUCGGGCCUCACAAAUAGGCCCCGCCCUUUAUGCAAAGAGGGGCUCAGAGGACCCCGCCCCUCGGGCACAAGCCACGCCCCCUCGAGCCCCCGCCUCCCCAGUCCAGUCCCCUUCUCCUCUCUGAGGUCCGGAGACCUGAGACCUUUACCGAGGCCGGGGCCACGUGCAGUGGGCGUGGGAGGGAGAGGACUCGAAGGCGGAGGGACGGAUGGAUGGAGGGGCCCCUGAGAUAACGGGGGUCCCGGGGAUGCCCAUCCGCGCGGGAGGCAGCGGAGGGGGGCGGAAUCCUACCCUCUGCGCUGGGAGGCUCCGGCAACACCCUUUGCGCUUCCAGCAGUCGCCCCUGACCGUGGUCGGUGACUUUCAGCACGAACCUCCCGUCCACCACGCAGUUCCGUGACUUAAGGCGCCCGUGGGCCACGCCUCGGUGGUGCAGAUACCUCAUUCCCUGGAAGGGGUGGGAUACGAGGCGACCUGAGCCCUGCGGCUCCCCUGCCCCCUCCUCCCUGCCACCCCCGCACCCCCUCCCCACCACCUUGAUGAGGUCCAGGAGGAGAGAGGACUUGAACAUCCAGUCCAGCUUUAUGUCUCUCUGGGCGAGGAGGUCGUGGAGGGAGCCCCGGGUACAGUGCUCGGAGACCACGGCCAGCAUGCGCUCCCCGGGGGCCAUGGUGCCACCCGCUCCGCUGCCGAGGAAGAGCCCCAGAUGCCUGAGGUUAAGUGGUGACUUAGUCUGGGGACCCUAAGUCAUUCUGCAGCUGUGACUGAGAGCUUCUGUGGAGGCGUCAGAGGAGGCCAGGCGGAGGCUGCACGAUGUAAGGGGGGGCCUCGAAGUGGGACGAUCAGAAUAAGCCAGGCCACCGCCUCCUUGCCAGCUUUCUGCUUCGCCCAGUAGGCAUUAUCUGACUCUUGGUUUUGGCUCAGGUCGUGAUCUCAUGGGUUCAUGGGAUCGAGCUCCACAUGGGGCUCUACACUGAUGGAGCCUGUGUGGAAUUUUCUCUCUCUCUCUCUGCACCCCCCUCCAUGCGCGCUCUCUCUCUCUCAAAAAUAAAUAAACAUUAAGAAAAAAAUGGAAGAGCAUAACGGGACACCUGCUUUGGGAGAGGGCACUUCCACUGAGACCUGUUGGUCUCUCCUAGAUUCGGGUCUAUCUCUGUCCCCAGCUGCAAAGAGAAGGUCAAGAGGGAAGGAAAUGACGGCCACCCCACACCCCACACCCCACCACGGGCUCAACGCUCACCUUGGAGAAGACUGUCCUGGUUGCUGGGCGGAUAGCUAUGUGCUGAUCCCCUGGGAAUUUCUUCAGCCAAACCCAGUCUCCCUGGAGCAGAGAUGGGAGUAGUUUUUUGUUGUUGUUUUUAAAGAGAGAGAGAGAGAGAGCAUGCGCACAAGCCAGGGAGAGGGCCAGAGGGAGAGAGAGAAUCUUAAGCAGGUUCCACGUUCAGCAAGGAGCCAAAUGUGGGGCUCGAUCCCACAACCCUGGGAUCGUGACCUGAACUGAAAUCAAGAGUUGGACGCUGACUGAGCCACCCAGGCGCCCCAGAGAUGGGAGCAGUGAACUCAGUUUCUGAAAAGCCCGUGAGGUGAAAAGCCACAGAGUCCCCACGUUUCCACUGGCCUACUGCCUCAGGACACAUCCUGCCUGUGACGCAGAGGUUCAGAAGCAAAGCGUUUGACAUCUGUCAGUCCACUUCACAGCUGGCGGGGAUGGGGGCCACCCUCGCGUGGCUGUCCUCACCAACGCAGACGCACCCACCCACAGCCUUAGUAAGCAAGCCGUUAGCACCACAAAUGUCAUUGAGGCCACAGCCCUCCUCACCAUCUGUUGCCCUGAGAGAGCACUGUGCUGGGAGUCAGGAGUCUGGGGAGAUCAGGCUUUUAUGACAGACUGACUGUGACGCACAGGCAGUUCCCCUCCAGGCUCGGAGCCUCACUGUCCUCAGCUGUGGGCAGGGCUGGUCCAUGGGAACGCGGUCCCAUCGGGCCCCAUGCUCACGAGGGCCUGUGCUUGGUUCAGCCGUCUGCUCCACCGUCCUGAACCAACAGGGAGCCCUUCGGUGUCAUUCUGCCUUAGACCCUGCAAUCUCUGUAGCCGGCCUCGUCCGUGGGUGAGGGGUUUGGCCGCACUGGCAGGAGAUUCUGGUGGUUUGGUGUCGACUCCUAACGAGCCUUUGGAAAUACAUAGGGGACAUUCUUAAUUGUUCCAAAACUGGGAGAUGUGUUUUGUGGGUGGGACAAGAGACACUAAACGUUCUUCAAGGCACAGGGUAGGCCCAUUCAAAUGAUUAACCACAACUUCCCCCAGUGACAAGUGGCCGCGGUGGCCUGUAGGUGACAUAUUGGGACCCUCUGCAUGCUCUGUGGAACCUGACAUCUGGAAGCUCCAAGCCUCCACCCCGCUCUUGAUUAGCUGAGCUCCCUCAGCUCUUUCUGGGUCUGUCGUGAUUCCCAAACAUCCUACAGCAUUCAGAUUUGCUGACCCAUAGUGAAGGUCCUAAUGCCCUUCUGUGACUUUUUCCUUCCAUCCCCUGUAAGCUCACGGUUCCUGAGUCUGAUCUGAAUUGGGUGGAAACGCUGGGUAGGACCAGGAUGCGGGUCUGUCUGUCUUGAGUCAGGAUAGCCCCAUCUGGGACCUCCCCGUCCUGAACAACCCGUGUCCUGGAAAUGUCCUUUUUGUGACCACGAUGCCACAUCCCAGAUGCCCCAACCUUUCCAGGGAGGCCCACGCCCUUCAGUAGCCUGAAGUCUUGGAUCAACGGAGGGGGCAGGGCCAGGGGCUCCCAACGGGGAGGGGGAUGGCUUCGGUGGCCACACCGGGCUGCAUGCUGGUGCCGGAACACCCCCCACCAGGCAGGCCUCCGGCCUCGGAGCCACCGUGAUUGGCCUUUGAGGAGCCCUCAUCUGGAUAAAGGCUAAGGGAAAAACCCUGGGGCAGGAAGGAUUCUCAGACGCUCCCCUUUGGGGAACCCGUGACCUCUUCCUAGAGCCCAUUCUGGGCUCCUAUCACCA
Long non-coding RNA from Acinonyx jubatus (cheetah), 7657 nucleotides. RefSeq lists it as uncharacterized. The record is from RefSeq and is a predicted model, not a curated record. Lineage: Eukaryota; Metazoa; Chordata; Mammalia; Carnivora; Felidae. The transcript has 5 exons.